Molecule: long non-coding RNA, 213 nt
Filed under: Elaeis guineensis (African oil palm)
Lineage: Eukaryota; Viridiplantae; Streptophyta; Magnoliopsida; Arecales; Arecaceae
Description: long non-coding RNA (EGUI_LNC029357)
Source: RNAcentral
ACUACAAAACCCAACUUUUUAAAUUCCUUGUAACUUGGAUAUAAUUCUUGGUUAGCCUUUUCAACCAAUUUAUAAAAUUUUUUUGACUUCAACAUUAGGCUUCUCUAUAUGCUAGUUAGUUGGAUUUUCUACCACACUAUCUAGAUUAGCAUUAGAAAUAUAUAUUAUAGCAUCCCAUAUAUAUCAUCAGAUUGAUUUGAUUCAUUCCAAUCA